Molecule: transfer RNA, 73 nt
Filed under: Mus musculus (house mouse)
Lineage: Eukaryota; Metazoa; Chordata; Mammalia; Rodentia; Muridae
Description: tRNA-Ser
Source: RNAcentral
GUUGGGAUGGCUCAGAGGUUAACAGCACUGUCUGCUCUUCCAGAGGUCCUGAGUUCAAAUCCCAGCAACCACA